UGCGCACCGAGUUGAAGGUGUACACCUUGUAGAGCUUCUCCUCCGGCACCUCGCUGCGCACGGCGUGGUAAUCCUGCUUCAGUCCUCAUUUUGAACUGACUACUCUGUGCCCAGCCAUUCCUAUGCUAGAUAAUUGCUCCCAGCCAACAGCAGCCUUCUCUAUCCUUCAGGAAUUUUCAAGCCAAUACUUGAGCAGACUAUGGAAAUGAUGUUAGACAAGAAGGAAAUUUGAGCGAUUUUCUUAUUUGAGUUCAAAAUGGGUCGUAAAGCAGUGGAGACGACUUGCUACAUCAACAACAUUUGGUACAGGAACUGCUAAUGAACAUGCAGGGCAGUGGUGGUUCAAGAGGGAAAUGAGAACCUUGAGGAUGAGGAAUGUAGUGGCUGGCCACCAGAAGCUGACAAUGACCAACUGAGAGCCAUCACUGAAGCCAAUCCUCUUACAAGUAAAUAAGUUGCCGAAGAACUUAACAUUGACCAUCCCACGGUCGUCUGGCAUGUGAAGCAAAUUAAAAAGGUGAAAAAGCACGCUAAGUGGGAGCCUCGUGAGCUGACUGAAAAUCCAAAACCUGUCAUUCUGAAGUGUCAUCUUCUCUCAUUCCACAAAACAACAACGAACCAUUUCUCGAUUGGAUUGGGAUGUGCGACGAAAAGUGGAUUUUACACAAUAACCAGCGAUGGCCAGCUCAGUGAUUGGACUGAGAAGAAGUCCCAAAGUAUUUCUCAAAGCCAGGCUUGCACCAAAAAAGGGCCACAGCCGCUGUCUGGCGGUCUGCUGCCGGUCUGAUCCACUAAACUUUUCCAAAUCCUGACGAAACCAUUACAUCUGAGAAGUAUGCUCAGCAAAUCAACACGAUGCACAGGAAACUCCCACACCUGCAGCUGGCACCGGUCAACAGAAGGGGCCCAGUUCUUCUCCACAGCAACACCCAACUGCAGGUCGCACAAGCAACACUGCAAAAACUGAACAAAUUGGGCUACAAAGUUUUGCCUCAUCCACCAUAUUCACCUGUUCAAAGUUCAA
Odocoileus virginianus texanus is the source of this 1024-nucleotide non-coding RNA. Lineage: Eukaryota; Metazoa; Chordata; Mammalia; Artiodactyla; Cervidae. The record is from RefSeq and is a predicted model, not a curated record.